CCUCCUCUUCUUCUUCUUCGUCGUGUCGUAAUGACUGCUCACGCUCAGCAGUGAAGGAAUUGAGGAAAGGAUGAAUGCUAGGGUUCUUCUAAGGUCCGCCACAGCUAAAAAUCCAAUCUUGGAAGAUGGGCUUUUUCUUUUUUUGACCUUAUUUGGGUUCUUUGCUUUGUUUUUUCCUCUAAUGGCAUACCGUGAAAACGAAGCGAACUUGGAAUGGAGGGAAGGUAGAGAGAGGAGAAUCCAUGCGUUGGUCGCUCUGUGGCGACGUGCGUUGCAGUCUGCUUUCUCUCUACUCUUUUCUCUUUGUCUAUCUCUCUAUAUUUGGGAGAGAAGGUGAAAGCAAAGGGGCAGGGUCACACAGCUCAAGUAGAGA
This 373-nucleotide long non-coding RNA is filed under the name Nicotiana benthamiana. Its description in RNAcentral is "long non-coding RNA (NBEN_LNC015777)". Lineage: Eukaryota; Viridiplantae; Streptophyta; Magnoliopsida; Solanales; Solanaceae. The record is from RNAcentral.